This 287-nucleotide ribosomal RNA is filed under the name uncultured bacterium. Its description in RNAcentral is "partial 16S ribosomal RNA". It matches the Rfam family "Bacterial small subunit ribosomal RNA", at positions 334 to 635 of the family's 1533-position model. The record is from RNAcentral.
GAGUCCUACGGGAGGCAGCAGUGGGGAAUAUUGCACAAUGGGGGGAACCCUGAUGCAGCAAUGCCGCGUGAAGGAUGAAGGUUUUCGGAUUGUAAACUUCUUUUGUACGGGACGAAGAAAGUGACGGUACCGUAAGAAUAAGCCACGGCUAACUACGUGCCAGCAGCCGCGGUAAUACGUAGGUGGCAAGCGUUAUCCGGAUUUACUGGGUGUAAAGGGCGAGUAGGCGGGAUUGCAAGUCAGAUGUGAAAACUAUCGGCUCAACCAGUAGAGUGCGUUUGAAAGUG